RNAcentral lists this ribosomal RNA (489 nucleotides) under uncultured bacterium. RNAcentral's name for it is "bacterial SSU rRNA". It matches the Rfam family "Bacterial small subunit ribosomal RNA", at positions 33 to 507 of the family's 1533-position model. The record is from RNAcentral.
ACGCUGGCGGCGUGCCUAANCAUGCAAGUCGACGGAGUCAUUCUUGGUGGCAACAUCUUGGGUGAUUUAGUGGCGAACGGGUGAGUAACACGUGAGGAACUUGCCCCGAAGACCGGGAUAACAGGAGGAAACUCUUGCUAAUACUGGAUGUCCUCGCUGGGUCGCAUGGUCUGGUGAGGAAAUGCUUUUGCGCUUCGGGAGGGUCUCGCGGCCUAUCAGCUUGUUGGUGGGGUAAUGGCCUACCAAGGCGUCGACGGGUAGCUGGUCUGAGAGGACGAUCCGCCACACUGGGACUGAGACACGGCCCAGACUCCUACGGGAGGCAGCAGUGGGGAAUUUUGGACAAUGGGGGCAACCCUGAUCCAGCCAUUCCGCGUGAGUGAAGAAGGCCUUCGGGUUGUAAAGCUCUUUCAGCUGGAGUGAAACGGUGCGCUCUAACAUAGCGUGCUAAUGACGGUACCAGCAGAAGAAGCACCGGCUAACUACGUG